GGGAAUGUAGUUUAGAAGGUUAGAAUGUUGGCCUGUCACGCCAAAGGUCGCGGGUUCAAGUCCCGUCGUUCCCG
Molecule: transfer RNA, 74 nt
Filed under: Rickettsiaceae bacterium
Lineage: Bacteria; Pseudomonadati; Pseudomonadota; Alphaproteobacteria; Rickettsiales; Rickettsiaceae
Description: tRNA-Asp
Rfam family: tRNA
About the family: Transfer RNA (tRNA) molecules are approximately 80 nucleotides in length. Their secondary structure includes four short double-helical elements and three loops (D, anti-codon, and T loops).
Source: RNAcentral